RNAcentral lists this non-coding RNA (182 nucleotides) under Huiozyma naganishii CBS 8797. Its description in RNAcentral is "Kazachstania naganishii CBS 8797 Eukaryotic large subunit ribosomal RNA". It matches the Rfam family "Eukaryotic large subunit ribosomal RNA", at positions 2426 to 2619 of the family's 3401-position model. Lineage: Eukaryota; Fungi; Ascomycota; Saccharomycetes; Saccharomycetales; Saccharomycetaceae. The record is from Rfam by way of RNAcentral.
CUCAAAUUUGACAUUGUAAAGAGACAUAGAGGGUGUAGCAUAUGUGGGAGCUUCGGCGCCACUACCUUUAUAGUUUCUUUACUUAAUUUAAUGAAGCGGAGCUAGACUUUAUUUUCCCACGUUCUAGCAUUCAAGGCGGCGCCAGGUGCUGAUCCGGGUUAAAGACAUUGUCAGGUGGGGAG